GGGGCCGACUGGUUUUGACAGCGAGACCAAUGGCAAUGUAAGCAUGUCGAGCGCUGGUGAAUAGCUCGCUAAUCUCAUUUUCCACACUUUUAAUUGGCGAUAACAAUUACGCUCUUGCCGCUUAAUCUGAAUUAUAGUAAGAUUAGCCUCGUCUCUACUAGGUAGAGAAGCGAGAUGUUCCUGAAUAGCCUCUGUCGACGGCGAUUCAAUUCGGAGCACCAUAAAUGUCGAUAUAAGGCUACUAGCGCUUCGAUAGUAGCACCAAAAUCUUAAGAAGAUAAGUGUAUGUUAGGCCGUUUCCGGUCAGGCAUGCAACGAAAACCAAUCGGAAACUAAACAUGUAGAAGGCAUUAACGUUGCUUGUUUGGACGAGGGUUCGACUCCCUCCGGCUCCACAA
Maribacter sp. HTCC2170 is the source of this 398-nucleotide non-coding RNA. It matches the Rfam family "transfer-messenger RNA". From Rfam's summary of the family: Bacterial tmRNA, also known as 10Sa RNA or SsrA, is named for its dual tRNA and mRNA-like properties. Lineage: Bacteria; Pseudomonadati; Bacteroidota; Flavobacteriia; Flavobacteriales; Flavobacteriaceae. The record is from Rfam.